This 8634-nucleotide long non-coding RNA is filed under the name Salvia miltiorrhiza (redroot sage). RNAcentral's name for it is "long non-coding RNA (SMIL_LNC002108)". The record is from RNAcentral. Lineage: Eukaryota; Viridiplantae; Streptophyta; Magnoliopsida; Lamiales; Lamiaceae.
AUUCCGCCUGAGAUAGGAAGCUUAUCCAAACUAACUCAUCUCGAUUUGUCAUACAAUGAACUCAACAGUGAUCUGCCUCUCUCACUUGCAAAUCUCACUAACUUACAUGUGCUUGACCUUUCUUAUAACAGCAUUGUCGGUGUCAUUCCGCCUGAGAUAGGAAACUUAUCCAAACUAACUCAUCUCGAUUUGUCAUACAAUGGACUCAACAGUGAUCUGCCUUUCUCACUUUCAAAUCUCACUGAAUUGCAGAUACUUGACAUUUUCUCAUAGUCGUCAGUUUUAGACAUAAANGAUAGGUUACCUCUCCAAACUAUCUCAUCUCAAUUUGUCACACAAUCAACUGUACAGUGAAUUGCCUCUGUCACUUGCAAAUCUCACUAACUUACAGGUGCUUGACAUUUCUUAUAACGGUUACAAUUCUGGUGUCAUUCCGCCUGAGAUCGGAAGCUUAUCCAAACUAACUCAUCUCGAUUUGUCACACAAUGGACUCAACACUGAUCUGCCUCUCUCACUUGCAAAUCUCACUAACUUACAGCUGCUCGACCUUUCUCAUAAUAGAAUUGUCGGUGCCAUUCCGCCUGAGAUAGGAAGCUUAUCCAAACUAACUCAUCUCGAUUUGUCAGUCAAUAGACUCUACGGUGAUCUGCCUCUCUCACUUUCAAAUCUCACUAACUUACAGCUGCUUGACAUUUCUGAAAACAACAUUUCCAGUGCCAUUCCGUCGGGAAUAGGUUACCUCCAGCAAUUGAUUGUUCUUGAUUUGAGCCACAACAGCAUCAGUGGCUCUCUGCCCUCAACUAUGCGCCAAUUAACAAGAUUGGAAUUGUUGAAAUUGGACGGCAAUAUGUUGGUAGGUGUUUUUGAGGCAGGAAUACAAAUGCUUCCUUCAAUUAAAACAGUAGACCUCAGUAGGAAUACAAUCGAAGGAAGGAUACCUUUUGAGUUUGGAGAUGCUGCUAAUGCACCGUUCUUGAAUAUCGAUCUGUCUCAUAACCAUCUUUGUGGUAGAGUUCCCGAAUCUCUUUCGCAUUUGGAUGGAAUCGAUCUGUCCUACAAUCGUUUAGAAGGUCGAAUUCCACUAGACAUCUGGCGUAAAUUUCCAGAGGAAUCGUUCUUCGGAAAUUCAGAGUUACGUCAUUAUCCAAAUGAAGCCAAACAUCCUCGAAAUGCUGUUAUUGCUGUGGUGAUACUAUUUGGAUGUGUGUUUUUGUUUUCAUCAGGUUUGAUUCUAACCUUUUACUUAAGAAGGAAAGCAGCCUCUGCAGUCACACCUCAUGAUGACCAGAGACAUGGAGACAUAUUCAAGAUAUGGAACUUCGAUGGAAACAUCGCCCAUCAACACAUCAUCCAAGCAACAGCAGACUUCGAUUUCGGGUACUGCAUCGGAACUGGAGCUUACGGGAGCGUCUACAGAGCUCAACUGCCAACUGGAAAAGUCGUUGCUGUCAAAAAGCUUCACAGAUUCGAAGGAGAGAAUCCUAGUUACGACAUGUGUUUCAGGAAUGAGGCAAGGGUGCUCUCUGAGAUUCGCCAUCGCCAUAUUGUCAAGCUUUUCGGUUAUUGCCUGCACAAGCGGAGCAUGUUCCUCAUCUACGACUACAUGGAAAGAGGAAGCCUGUUUAGUGUGUUGAAGGACGAGAGCGAAGCCGUGGAGUUAGAUUGGAAGAAGAGGGUGAAUGUGGUGAAGGGCAUUGCAAAUGCACUAUCUUACAUGCAUCACGAUUGCACGCCGCCAAUUCUGCAUAGAGACAUUUCGAGCAGCAACAUCCUCUUGAAUUCACAGUUUGAAGGUUGUUUAUCUGAUUUCGGAACAGCUAGAUUGUUGGAUCCAGACUCAUCCAAUCGGACUCUACUAGUCGGAACUCGCGGCUAUAUCGCGCCAGGUAUCGAUAAACACAACUUGGAUGAAUUAAUACACAUUUUCCCCCCAUCAAUUUUCAUGAUAGAUAUGUUUGCUGCUUGCAGAACUAGCCUUUACCAUGGUGGUUACAGAGAAAUGUGAUGUGUACAGCUUCGGAGUUCUGGCACUGGAAAUCGUGUGUGGGGACCACCCAGGGGAUUUCGUAUCCUCCGUGACCACGAUGAAGGGAUCAUCCUCAUUCGCACAGUUUGCUCAAAACUUGAUGGUGCAACAACUCCUGGACAAGAGACUAGCAUCUCCAGAUGAAGAUGUAAGAGUGUCCCGGGAAAUCGUUGGAGUGGUGAAAAUAGCUCUCAAAUGCGUAAGUUCUGAUCCGAAAUCGCGGCCGUCUAUGAAGGAGGUGUCUCAGGAACUCGCUGCGAACCCGCCACGCUUGUCGAUGCCCUUUCGCUCCAUAUCAGUGCUGCAGCUGAUGCAUUCAGAUUGAGCUCACAACUGCUUUUUUUUAACUAAUAAGCUUAAAGAUAGAUGUUGAAGUGCUUAUGAUACAUACUAGUACUAGGUUUGUUAAGGGUGUCCUCAACUGAACUGGAUCAAAAUAUUGAAAACUUGUUCACACUGGAUGGUGCUGAAGGUGAUAUUGAUCAUUAUUAUGAGUAUCUAUCUUUGAGUUGGAUGUUUUUCUUGUAAUGGUAGUGGCAGGCAUCUUGUCUUUGUCUUCAACUUUUCUCCAUUGUUCUUGUUUACUUUUUGGGUUCUGGAUUUGAGUUUUGAAUGACUUCAAAGGACCUGGUUUUGAGCCACUUGAUGAUAUAUAGUAAUUCAUACUUAUAUGAAAUAAGAUCACAUUCUAGAAUUGUCAAAAUCCUUGUCUAUAUUCAAUAAUAUGACAAUGUAUACCUACCCGAGUUUCGUCUACGGCUCGAUGACGAUUUUCCCGGUGGCGUGGCCGUCGAUGCUCUUCGUCCAAGCGUUGCCGGCCUUGGUUCUCGAGUCGAUGACCAUCUUGAGCUUCCCUUGUCUCACUAAAUCAACAAGAUACCCUUUUACUCGCCUUGGGGAUGAGGAGCUAUAUUGAUGGUUGUGAUGAUGGCUCGCCAACAUAUGAAAUCAAAUUUCAAUGAACCUUAAAAUAUAAGAACUGUAUAGAGUUGAAAAAAAUAUAAAUACAUGAAUUUAAUCGUAACCUGCUAUCUUCUUCCCCUUCUUAGUCAUUGUCCCUACAAACAUUAAAAUAUAAUAAAUUUAUUGUAACACCAUACCCCACAUUUCAAACGAAUAUAAUAGGAAAUUCAUGGGGGGACCAUAUGCACAUACAAUAAUACUUGAAAGUACCAUCUAAUACUGUCAAAAAGUUAUACUUUUAAUAAUUUUCUACUCAAUAUAAACCUUGAUUUGUCGAUUUCAUAACCAUUUCAUAAAGUAUUGAGCGACCUUGCUCUGCCUAUUUCUUAAACUAUUCAGAAUAACUCAACAAACAAGAACAAACAGAAAUUAAAACCCUAACUAUCUACUCGGAUGAAUCGCAGAUAUAUUGUAUAUUAAUCGCCAUUGUGAUACCAAAAGAAGUUUCCGAUUUGACAGGAGUUUCGUAUGAAUUUUCGAAUAAACAGAUGAACUAAAUCAAACAAAUGAACCCUAACUACUUACUCGAUGAUCGCCGGUGAAAAUAGAAAAAUGUCGCUGCAAAUGGACUUCAAGCGCCGUCUGGUAUAGAUGAAGCGCCGCCUGGUAGAGAAGAAUCGCCUUCGCCUCUAGGGUUCUCAGUCAACGAUGGGUUGGUAGACGAAAGUGGGGGGAAGAUGGUAUAGUAAAUGUCCUAAUUUACUGGAGUUAAUUUAGGAAUUGACAGUUUUCUAAAUAGACAAAAGGUCUAAUAUACCCCCAACGUUUUUUUAUAUGAUUUUUUAAGUUAUUCAGUAAAUUACAAAUGUAGAUUAAUUAUUAAAUAGUUUUAAUCUGGACCAUUAAUUUAUUCAGAUCCUAUGGUUAGGAUUAAUUCCUUAUUCUUUAUACUAAGGGAAUUCUUUGUAGAUCCCCACGGUCCCACCCCCUAUAGAGAGAGAGAGAGAGAGAAUGGCAAAUUUUUGUGACACCUAAGAACUAAUCCUAUCCAUUGAUUGUGUGAAUCCAACGGCUGGCACAUGAUUACAUUUUCAGCCUAUAAAGUUGGCGAUAAAGGGCAGCAUUGUAUUUCCUCAAUUCUCAAAUCCGUUACUUUCCUUAUUUCAUGCAAGGUAAUAUCCAUAAUUAUGGUAUUUUAGAUUUUGGUCAAACAAACAUAUCAUCUAUUACCCACUAACUCACGUUUUUAGUGAAAUUGCAUAUCUUGGUGGUUUUAUCUUUUAGCCAUCAAGAAUCGAUUUGCCAAAAAUUUUGAAGCCAUUUUACAUUCUGUACCCCACGUCUCUUUUUUGGCAUAACAAUCAUCCGCAGAGCUUCGAUUCUUUUCUCCUCAAUUCCAACAAUGUCUGACGAAAGUUAGUAAUCGGUUGUUCAUGUGUUAAUUCCAUUGACAUUUGUUGCUUAAUUAUACGCCGAUCUCAGUUUUCAUUUAUAUUUUGUAAAUGGUUUUGUAUUCAGCACUUGAAUUGAGAUAGUUUGUUUAAAUAGAGACGAAGCUGAUAUGUUAUGUGUUUUAAAUUGAUGAUUUUUAGUAGUGUGAAUACAUAAUUUAUAUUUCUGUUCAGUUGAAUAGUCUUAUUCAAGUCAUAACCUUCAUUGUUUCAUGAGUUCAAUUCAUAGGUUAUGUUAUUUUUUAACCCAUUGUUAUUUUUGGUCUUUAUAAGUAUGAAGUUAUUUUGUUUUAUGUUAUGAAUUAGUGAUUACAAGUAGUUUUAAUACAUAAUUUAUAUAUAUGUUCAUUCGAAUGCGUGCAGUCAAGGCAUGAUUUCAAUUUUCUGAUGAAGGUUAGCUAAUCGAAUUUUUAUAGCGUUAAUUCCACCGUUUUCUUGUUAGUUUAAUUUUUAUCGUGUAUCUUAGUUUUUGUAUAUAUGUUUUAGUUUCAGUCGUAUUCAAUUUUACACUUGAAUUGAGAUUGUUUUGUUAAAUAGCUUCUAAGUUAUGACUUAGUGAUUAUAAGUAGUAUGUGUAUAUAAUUUAUUUAUUUUUUCUGUUCAGCUGUAUAUUUUUAUUGAAGUAUGAAUAUUCACUAUUUCAUGAGUUUGAUUGUUAUGUUAUGUUACUUUUAUCCCAUUGUUAUUUUUGAUUUAAUAAUUAUGAAGUAAAUAUUUUUUAUGUUAUGAACUAUUUAUGUUCAUUUGAAUAUGUUUAUUCAAGUUUGAAUAUUCAAUAAUUUAUGAGCUUGAUUGAUAUGUUAUUUUAUUCUUAAUCCAUUGUUAAUUUUUGUUACAUAUUUUAGAUAGUUGUUCCUCUGUAUUUUGUUAUUCAAUGUAGUACAUACUAAAGGUAGCGGAUGUGGUGGUCGGAGGAAGUCGACGAGGGAGAAAUUAGUUGAGCAAGCUUUGAAGCCCAAGAGAAGAUGCAAGAAGUGCAAUAAGUUGGUUAAUCACGACUCUAGGAACUGUCCAGGAAUUGACGCAGUAGAAGAAUGAACUACUAUGGGUUUUUUUUUGUUAUUUAGUUGUGGAAUCCAUCAUCCAAGUUUUAAUUUUCACAUCUAUUUAUCUCUCAUGAACAAUAUUUGGAAGUUUUAUUCAUUACCUUAGUUUGUUGUUUGAACUGUGUUGAACAUACCUUCUAUUCGUGACUGUAGUAAUUGAUGAACAAGAAAUUUUCAAUUAAUGAACAUGUUCUUUGUUCAUGUAUAUUUUCACAUGAAUAAACUCGAAUGCUGACAGGGCUUGUUCACAUGAAUUUUGUAACCUCAACGUAUGUUGUUCGCUCGAACAUAAAGUCACAUUCAUGCGUGUUGUUCAUUCAUGAUUAAAUUGUUCAUGUAUGUUGUUUGUGUGAAUAAAACAAAUGUAGAUUUAUAUAUUACAUUAGUUUGUGCUUUGAAAAAUUUUCACCUUACCUUUUAUCCAUGAUUGUAUUGAAUUAUGAAUAGACAUUUUCCAAUUAAUGAAUAUGUUUUUGGUUAUAAAUUCUGAACAUGGAACAUCAUUUAUAAAACAUUAAAAAAAGAGAAAAGGUGCAGAUUGGCCCCCGAAGUAGUAGCCCCUAUAGCGUAUAACCCCUCUUACUCAUUGUGUGUGCAACUAAACCCCUGAACUCCGAGAAAAUGGUGCAAAUUCCCCCCUCUAACCUAACGCCGUUAAGUGUCCGUUAACGUUUGGGUUUAAUUGCACCAUUUACUUCAGGGGUGGAUCAGCACCUUAUUUAUUUUUAUUUUUUUUAAUUUCAGCAACCCACCUUUGGCAUCAACUUAACCACCCCCGUAUGUUAGGUCUGGGGGGUCUCGAAUAGGUGUAUGGGGGGGGGAAUACACCUAUAGGCUAUUUUCACAACAAUCUACUGACCUCAAUCAGAGGGACCUCAGUCAGAGAUCAAAACGAAACUUUACAUGCAAACAAGGACUCCUGUUUUACUGAAAUCAGUUUUGACCAACAGGGUUGACGACUGAUACUGAAAGCUCUUCAGUAAUGAGUUAUUAGUUAAGUUGCUGGAACUUAACUGAUCCAAGUAAGGGCUUCAGUCGUGUUUGCUAAGAUAGAGAUGAUAUCACUCUUCCUUACUAUCAGAGGAUAGUUUAGUCAGAUUGAUAUCAUACGCAACGGAAAUUAAACUUCGUUUUGUAAUAGCCUCGGUGGAGCAGAUAGUUGGAUUAAGGUUUCUCUUUGCUGUUAGUCAGUGUUCAGUUUUAUCAAUAGAAAUAGCACAAGUAAGAAUGUAAAACUGAAAGCUGUAAAUAACACAGAGACUUUUACGUGGUUCGGAAAAACCCUUUCCUACAUCCACAACUGGUUGAUCAGACCAACGAUCCACUCCGCAAGUGCUUCACUGGUGCACUGCAAACCGUACCCGUGUGCUUGUCUGGUGCACACAAUCGUAAACUGAAGAAAACCCUUCUUCAACACCCACACACCUCGCGUAGGAUUUCCCUGCUAAGCACACCUCGUGCUCAAACUUUUCACUCAGAGUUCAGAGUACCUUCCUGAACUCCGAACCACUCAAACACUCUUAUGGGGGGAGGUUUGAACGAGUGCCAACUAUACUUACAAAGAACAAGUUCUUUGAAGCAAGUUUGACCUUUGGCUUCUGGGUAAACAGAUAUAUGCCUAGGGUCUAAGAGAAUGUAUGUAAUCAGCAGUGACUGAUUUUGGCUUUGGAAUUCUCUUCUUCGAUUCAAGCUUUGGGGCGGUUAAGCUUUAGGCUGAGUAGCAAUUUCGGCAGAGCUUCAGCUUAUGUCGUCGAAUCGGUGAAGGUUGAAGUGAUCCUCGAGCGCUAUUUGUAGGAGAACUCUUGAAUAGAUCCGUUGGCGUAAAUCGUCCUCAAGAUUUCUUCCGUUGGAGAGCAAUUCGAAUUUGGGCUGAGGCUUCAAUCUUCGAGGUUCCUUGUCUGUGUGGAAACGACUCUCUUUGAUGGACAGGAGAUGUGACAUCUCUGAAAAGUAACCACCAGAUAGGAAUGACCUCUGCAGAGAUAAGAUAUUCUGAGAUCUCUGCAUUUAAUGCGGCUGUACUUGUGCGUACGUGGCUUCCUCUGAACGUUGGAAGAUCAGUCCUAGGAGGAAUGUUCAACUGAUACUUGACUUUAGUAUCAGUCCUUUGCGCGCAUUAAAUAAUCAGUCUUCAACUGAUUCUUCAACUGAUACUUCAGUUGGUAUCUGCAGUCUUCAGUCUUCAGUCUUCGUUCUUCAGUCUUCAGUCUUCGACACCGCAACUAAACUAGAAACGAACUCUAACACUUGAGUUCAAAACGAUUCUAGUCUAUUACAUAUAAGUCCUAUGAAUUUUGGUAUCAUCAAAACAAGGGUUAGGAUAUUCCACAAGGUUCCCAACACAUACUCAUCGAUUCUAACUUGCACCUUGUUAGCUCUCACGCGCCCAAUCUCUUGGUUGUCGACUGCCCACCGCUUACAUGUAGCAACGGCCACCAGAUCUUCACCGCCCCCGCACAACAUCAUCUCCUCCAACACCUUAACCUUUUAGGCUUAUCUUAUGAUAUUAAUUGUGUAUAUAUUUAUCUAUAUAAUAUAUAUUUAAAUUUUAUUUAUUUAUUUUUGAAUAAUUAUUAAAAACUCUAGAUAAUAAUUAUGAUUUUAUUUUUGGUUAAUUUAAUAUUUAUAAAUUUAUUUUAAAAAAGAAAAAAGAAUGGAUCCGGGUCAGGACUCGAGACCCUGUGAAUCUAAUGGAUCNCCAUCCCACCACAGAUAGGUUACCUCUCCAAUCUAACUCAUCUCGAUAUGUCAGACAAUAGACUCUACGGUGAUCUGCCUCUCUCACUUUCAAAUCUCACUAGCUUACAUGUGCUUGACCUUUCUUUCAACAACAUUGUCGGUGCCAUUCCGCCUGAGAUAGGAAGCUUAUCCAAACUAACUCAUCUCGAUUUGUCACACAAUAUACUCAACAGUGAUCUGCCUCUCUCACUUGCAAAUCUCACUAACUUACAGCUGCUUGACCUUUCUCAAAACAGAAUUUUCGAUGGCAUUCCGUCGGGAAUAGGUUACCUCCAGCAAUUGAUUGUUCUUGAUUUGAGCGGCAACAGCAUCAGUGGCUCUCUGCCCUCAACUAUGAUCCAAUUAACAAGAUUGGAAUUCUUGAAAUUGGACUCCAAUAUGUUGGUAGGUGUUUUUGAGGCAGGAAUACAAAUGCUUCCUUCAAUUAAAACAAUAGGCCUCAGUGGGAAUUCAAUCAAAGGAAGGAUAC